Small nucleolar RNA from Ochotona princeps (American pika), 132 nucleotides. Ensembl annotates it as small nucleolar RNA, H/ACA box 80B. The record is from Ensembl. NCBI's taxonomy places the organism in Eukaryota, Metazoa, Chordata, Mammalia, Lagomorpha, Ochotonidae.
ACAUGGAUUUGAAUUUAUGGCAGGCCUGUCCUGCUCGGCCUCUCAUUGUGUCGCAUGCCAGAACAAACUGUGACCCUGAACUAUCGCCCGGCCUCUUCAUAGGUUGUUGACACUGAAGCAGGUUGCACAGUA